This 450-nucleotide ribosomal RNA is filed under the name uncultured bacterium. Its description in RNAcentral is "partial 16S ribosomal RNA". It matches the Rfam family "Bacterial small subunit ribosomal RNA", at positions 29 to 507 of the family's 1533-position model. The record is from RNAcentral.
AUGAACGCUGGCGGCGUGCCUAACCCAUGCAAGUCGCGCGGCAGCGAGGGGUGCUUGCACCCUGUCGGCGAGCGGCGGACGGCUGAGUAACGCGUGGGAACGUGCCCCAAAGUGAGGAAUAACUGCCCGAAAGGGUAGCUAAUACCGCAUAUUAUCUUCGGAUCAAAGGAUUUAUCCGCUUUGGGAGCGGCUCGCGUCGGCUUAGGUAGGUGGUGAGGUAAUGGCUCACCAAGCCGACGAUCCGUAGCUGGUCUGGGAGGAUGACCAGCCAGACUGGAACGGAGGCCCGGUCCAGACUCCUACGGGAGGCAGCAGUGAGGAAUCUUCCACACUGGGCGAAAGCCUGAUGGAGCAGCGCCGCGUGCAGGACGAAGGCCUUCGGGUUGUAAACUGCUUUUAUAAGUGAGGAAUAUGACGGUAACUUAUGAAUAAGGAUCGGCUAACUACGUG